GGAAUCCUACAAUUAAACUA
This 20-nucleotide transfer RNA is filed under the name Chelonia mydas (Green sea turtle). RNAcentral describes it as "partial tRNA-Pro". Lineage: Eukaryota; Metazoa; Chordata; Testudines; Cheloniidae. The record is from RNAcentral.